Molecule: ribosomal RNA, 426 nt
Filed under: uncultured marine bacterium
Lineage: Bacteria
Description: bacterial SSU rRNA
Rfam family: Bacterial small subunit ribosomal RNA
Source: RNAcentral
ACCCCGGCUAACUCCGUGCCAGCAGCCGCGGUAAUACGGAGGGGGUUAGCGUUGUUCGGAAUUACUGGGCGUAAAGCGCGCGUAGGCGGAUCAAAAAGUUGGGGGUGAAAUCCCAGGGCUCAACCCUGGAACUGCCUCCAAAACUACUGGUCUAGAGUUCGAGAGAGGUGAGUGGAAUUGUGAGUGUAGAGGUGAAAUUCGUAGAUAUUCACAGGAACACCAGUGGCGAAGGCGGCUCACUGGCUCGAUACUGACGCUGAGGUGCGAAAGUGUGGGGAGCAAACAGGAUUAGAUACCCUGGUAGUCCACACCGUAAACGAUGAAUGCCAGUCUGCGGGCAGUAUACUGUUCGGUGACACACCUAACGGAUUAAGCAUUCCGCCUGGGGAGUACGGUCGCAAGAUUAAAACUCAAAGGAAUUGACGG